CUUGAGAAAUUCAAAAGGAAAACGACUAACGUCAUAGUGUAUUACUUCAUGAGAAGUACUACUUCUUUUGAUUGGAUCAAGAGCGCUAAUAGUUCAAUGUGAAGGUGCAGGCGAUGCUUUUCGAACUGAGAUGAUGUAAGAAUCACUCAAUCAAGGAUCUUUAAAGAAAAAGGAUAUCUUGUACACUCCAAAGCAGUAAAAGGAACGAAGACUCCAACAAAAUCAACACCUUACCCUCGUAUAUAAGCCAACAAAAAAAGGACGAUCACUGCAGUAGUUAAUUGUAAUAACAUGUUGUGUGAGUUGAACUAUUAAAUUUAUCCUUUUCAGCACAGGCUGCAUUUGAUAGUUGUACGAAAAGUAACAUGUAUUGUACUAUAAGCUUGGCAUGAUUCUUGGCAAUCUGCUUAACACGUGUAUUGCUCUCAAUUUGCAGCCCUUGACUUUUCCUCUUUUUUUAGUUAGACGUAUUUUUUUUGAGACAUUUGCUUCCUCUUUACUUCUAUUUUCAGUUCUUCUUCCUCUGUUCUUCACUCAAUGAUUCUUUUAUUUCUCUUUGUUUCUUUCCUUCAUCACUUUUAAGUUUCAAUUUUGUAUCUCACUUUUGGUUUUCUUUUCAAAAAAAUUAGUAUGUGAUUUUUGGAUUUUUAAUCGUGGUUUAAGCUUUGCUCUGGAUUAUGACUAAAAGCUAUCGAUGGUAUUAAGAAGAUCAAUACAAUGAAUAGAGAAAGACUGAAAAAAGUUUCCAAAGUUGGUUGAUAAGACGGUUCUAAUUUUGGAGAUUUUACUGGACAAAAAUUGGGCUAGCACUAGCGGUAUCGACGGCUGAUGGAAGCAGAGGUGAGCAAGAUAAAGAGUAGAUCAUUCAAUGUCAUCGAUGAAUUUCUGAAAUUCCACCACGAAUCAAUGAAGAAUUUGUAUUGUAAGACAUAAUCUUUCCACUCCAUUCCUGCCGAACCAACACAUUGGGUAAACGCAAGGUGUCUGUUUCUAAUAGGAAACGGAAAUGAAUAUGCUUAGUGAAGUUGAGGAAGUGCUUACCAUGGCAAAGAAGAAGAAUUCACACAUGUGCGACCCAAUAGUGGCAUUUAGAUUGUUUUGAUGGAUAUGGCACCUCAUCUCAAUCCUCAUCUUAUUGCUACAAUCAGAAAGUUAUUUGGCAAAUAAAAGUUGAAGAAACUAGACAUGAGUCAAAAUGAUGUUCAUUGUUGCAUCAGGGUACAAAAGCAUUUGUAGUGAUGGUGUUCCGAUUGAAGUGCAAUGGUAAGGUGAGAACUAUGCAUCACUACUAGGUAAGCAUUUCACACAUUAUAUCAUUGAUGACACAUUAUUAAUGUGUGAUACAAAUGUUAGUCAGUGAAAAUAUCUAAGUAUGGUUCUGCUCAUAUUUGAAGUAGUAUGCAGGUUAGAAAAACUGGGCAAAAAACUUGGCAUUCCCUAUUAUUAAUAAAAUAGAUAAUGUAGACAACAUGAACUUGCAAGAAUUUUAUUAUGAAAUAUGUAGUCUUCAAACUACUUAUGUGGGCUUCUCUAGGAACAUAACACAAGGCUACUAAGAUAUGGAACGAGGUGAUGAAUAGACGUGAAAAGGAAAAAUUAGUGUAUGACUCAUGUUAGAUGACAUUAUCAAGGUUAUAAACUGUUGUAAAACACUUUUAAGGUUAUGCAUUUAUAGUUCUCACAAAUAUAUAGUAAGUAAAAAUGAUCUUUUCCUAUGAGAGUAUGCCUUUAGUUUAGGGGUUGUGCCAGGACUAAGUCUCUCCAAUAUUAUUUUGGACAUCUCACACUUAUAGAGGAUACACUGAUGAUAACAGCAUGUGGUACUAUAAGGUGCAUGUUUUAACUCAUAGCUGCUUUCUCUAAACCUGAAUUUCAUAUUUAAAUUUUGUCUAGUCAUGAUUCAAUGUGAUGUCUCUGUUGUUAAACCUGAAUUUCAUAUUUAAAUUUUGUCAAGUCAUGAUUCUAUGUGAUGUCUCUGUUGUUUAACAUCUUGAUUUUGUUGUCUAAUUUUAUGUCAGCUCAGACUAAAAAAUAAUAAUUUAAACUAUAGGUAAAAAAUAAUGUUAAUUAAUGGCAAUAAUAUAAAAAUAGCACAGAAGUUGAAUGAAAUGAGAAAGAAAAAAUAUCAAAAAAAUGAAGAGAAUCAAGCGAUAUAUCUAAUAUAGUGGGACAAUGUCAUAUUGGACAUGAAAAUAGGAGGGUUUAGGAAUAAAUGGAAUAAGGGUAACAAAUUGUAGUUUACUCAUGAAAUGGUUAUGGACAUAUAUUGUGAAAGAAGAGGCACUUUGGAGAAGGAUAAUUAAAAAAAUGUGGGGGUAAAAGAGGUGAAUGGUGCAUAAAUAAGUUCACGGGGUCAUACGAAAAUGGAGUAUGGAGAACAUAAAAGAAGAAUGUGGAUCUUUUUAAACUAAUGUAUGCUUUGUUUCAAGUGAUGGAAGAAA
Molecule: long non-coding RNA, 2441 nt
Organism: Solanum dulcamara
Lineage: Eukaryota; Viridiplantae; Streptophyta; Magnoliopsida; Solanales; Solanaceae
Exons: 5
Source: RefSeq, a predicted model, not a curated record